UCUCCUUCUCCCCCUACUAUAGUGCAUAUCCCACUCCGGCUUUCCUGCCCUCACCACUUCGCUGAGCCACCCACCAGCUACGCCACUCUCGAGUGUCCUCCCUACAUCUCCCUCCCGCGCUCGGGAGUACUCACAGCUGUCCUCUUCGCUCUCUCUUCUCCUCUGUCUCUCGCUCUCACGUUUCACGCCGUUGGCGAUCGGCGCGCCGGAGAGCGUCGACAGGCGUCGCGAAUUCACUUCUCGCAACUUCGGCUCCGCUCGGUCGGUUCCGAACGCCGGUCAGAGGAAUUCACCAGUAUGCGCCGCGCUGCCUUGCCGGCAAGUUGUAUGUAGUAGAUAGGUUUUCUUUCCUGAUCGUACGUGCGAGACGUCACUUCUCAAAUCACGAGGCAAGCGAUUCCAAAGUGUUUGCCCAAGUAUUUUUUAUCCGUGAUACGAAUAAGAACACGACUGCUAUCGGACGGUUCGUUCACGUGCACGAGAAACGGAGCGCGACCGGCCGCAGCCUAAUCGGGAAAGGAGUAUCCGCGCGGAGCGAUAGCUCGCCGGCGACGAGGAUCCGAGGGUAUCGAUGAGAGAUACCGGGAGGAACUGUCUCUCAGAGGCAACAAAGAGCAUCAAAGGUCACCGUCAUCGCGCUCGCGCCAUUGCGGUGGGUUCUUCCGAAAAUCACGCCGUCGGCCACGCAGAGUGCUCGCCGCGCAAAUCUCGUCACGACACAACGACGAGCAACCAUCAUCAGUGACGACGUAGAACGUGGAUUCAGCCGCUCGUGCGACGGGCCAAGUUCCUAUCAAAACAUGGCCACGUGACCCUCGGACGGCACGGAUUGUAAACACAGAGUUUGACCACGUGGUCUGCUCCCCCUCUUCGCCGCGCCGGGCGCCUAUCUGUUACUCUGUCUCUCUCUCUCUCUCUCUCUCUUUCGACUGCCUUCUCUCCAUCCUGCUCUCUCUCUCUCUCUCUUGUUGCACACUAUUCCCCGCCGUCGUUAUCCUCCUCCGACUCUCUCGCUCGUGCGCGCUCUUUCGGCACGCAGAACGCAGCUCGGUAGAAUCCUCAGUUGGUUCGCCGCCGUCGUCAGCCACACGCGAGUAUACAAUCGCAGUCGGUCUGCUGCUCUCCGUGAACCUGUUGUCGAACGUCGCUCAGUUUGGAGCUUCGUCUCCCGCGAGCGCCGAUCCGCGCCGCGCAUCGUGUCGCGCCGCGUAUAAAAUUCGUAGCGAUUUCACGCUGGUGAUGUGUUGAAGAACUGCAGUGCUUGAAGAAACAGAAACACAGCGGCACACACAUACACACACGUACAUACACACACACGCAUAUACACACUGAGAGACCAAUCCGGCGUGAACGAGCGCUGCGACGAGCGCUACCACGAGCGGUGCCACGAGCCUUCGCCGAGGACGUACGAAGGCCGUCGCUGACACAUACACACACACGCGCGUUACAUACAUAUACACGUCUAGUGAUAGUGCGAUCGAAACGCGACAACCUAAGUCGUCUCGCUCGCGCGUGAACGGGUUUUCUCAGUGCCCAACGCCGUCGAUCGCCGAUCGUACGUUGCCGAUCACCGCGGAGUUUCGUAUCCGUCCCGUGGACUCUUUUAAGUUUGCACAGCAGCGCGCGAAAAUGAUGGAUUCGGGGCCGGCGUCAGGGUCGCUGACUCCGUCGCAGCAGCAGCAACAGCAGCAACAGAAGAAGGGGGUCUCCUUCGAGUUUCCGACCUCGCCGGACCUGGAGACCGGCUUCGAGCCGCAAACCAGAGCGCGAUCCAACACAUGGCCGCUGCCGCGACCCGAAGGAUACGUGGAGGGCAACGCGCCGGCCACGAAGGAAGGUGCCGAGGGCGGUACACCACCUCAUCAGACGCAACUCGCCCAGGGCGGUCUGUUGCCCGUGAAGAAGAAUUCGUCGAGAAGGAACGCUUGGGGAAACCUCAGCUACGCCGACCUGAUCACGCAGGCGAUCACCAGCGCGCCCGAGCAGCGGCUCACUCUUUCGCAGAUCUACGAGUGGAUGGUCCAGAACGUAUCCUACUUUAAGGACAAGGGCGACAACAACAGCAGCGCCGGUUGGAAGAAUUCCAUACGUCACAACUUAUCGCUACACAGCAGAUUCAUGCGAGUGCAGAACGAGGGUACUGGCAAGAGCUCCUGGUGGAUGAUCAAUCGUGAUGCCAAGCCGGGCAAGUCCGCCCGUCGCAGGGCCACUACUAUGGAGAGCACCGGGAGUCUGGAGAAGCGACGCGGUCGUUCGAAGAAGAUUGCUGAGGCCCUGAGGAACGGCGGACUACUGGCCGAGCCCACAUCUAGUCCCAGCAGCAGCGUCGGAGAGGGUCUGGACCUGUUUCCGGACAGCCCGCUGCCCGCCAGCGGAUUUCAACUUUCCUCCGACUUCCGCCCGCGCGCUUCGAGUAACGCCUCUUCCUGUGGCCGAUUGAGUCCUAUCCCGGCAGUUCUCGGAGAACCAGACUGGACGCCGACUUACGCAUCUUCUUACAGCCCAGAACAACAAUUAGCGGACACGAUUCUAGCUGGCAACCUGGCGGAAACGAUGAAACUGGAGCCCUACCAAAUUUACCAAACGUCACCGCCGGCCGGCCACCAGCAACAAACCGGCCCGCCGCCGCCUUACUACGAAGCGCAAUACCAGAGGAACAACGGCCUACGCACUCCGUCGUCCGCAUCCUAUGGCCUGCCACCUACCCCGCAGUCGGCCAAUCAGCAGAGAUGCCCGAUCCACGGUCUGCAGCCGUGUGCCUGUCAGAUGAACCUGAGUCCCGUGUCCGGCAUGUCACCGUCGUAUCAGCAGAGCGAACCGAGCCCCACGACAUUGGGCACUAAUCAGCAACAGACGCUGCAAUACAUGAUUCAGACGCAACAGCGUCAACAGCAACAGCAGCAGCAGCAGCAACAGCGGCAGCAUCAGCCGCAGCAUCAGCCGCCGCAUCAGCCGCCGCAUCAGCCGCCGCAUCAGCCGCCGCAUCAGCCGCAGCAUCAGCCGGCACAGACUGGACCAGCUGGUCCUAGCCCGCCGAACACCCCGACACCCUGCCCCGCCACACCUAGCACUAUGAUGGGCCAGCUGAUGGGUGCGCUCAACCAUUCCGCCCUUCUCGACGAUCUCAACAUCAACAUCGAGGCGAUGCACGGCGGUUUCGAUUGCAACGUUGAGGAAGUGAUCAAACAUGAGCUGUCGAUGGGCGGCACACUGGACUUCAACUUCCAGCAGGGAGUGAUGGGCACCGUGCAAGUAAGCGACGGCAAUGUUGUCGGCCAGAACGGCGGCGUCGUCUCUCAGAACACGGGCGUCGUUGUCGGCACAACGACCGGCAAUGCACCCGCGGGCGUCUACGUGAGCACGAACGCGGCGACCCCCGCCGCUACCCAUUCGUGGGUUCACUAGCAGUUAACCCCCUUGCCCUCGACACCCCCGUCGUCCUUGCCGAUGCCGCCGUUGUCCGACGGAUCGCGAAAUAACUUCUGCGGGACGACCGAAGGGCAGCUCAUCGACGUUCGGCAUGCCGAGGACGAGAGGGUAAACCGACGAUUUGUGAUAAGAUAUAGACAUAAUGAUGCCAGAUCGCGACGAAAUACGUACUUCAAAAAUGCCAAUUUACGCUAGUGCAACUGUGGUGCGAGAAACUAAAACGCCACGAGCGCGAUCAACGUCGGCGAGGACUUCACCAUCGCUUCAUCAAACGUCUUCAGCUUCUUCCACAGCGAGCUGCUGCUCAAAAUAGGCCAGAGAUGUUGGCGACAACUACGAGGUUACGAGCUCUUGCGAUUUUACGAAAGUUUUCGCAACGAAUCAUUCGACUAGAUCAAAUUUUGGUGAAAUGUUGCAAAUUAUUAUUUCUUUGUGUAUAGAUAAUUUACAAAAAUUUUUGAAAACACUUUUUGUUUUGAAAUGUUGAUUUAGACUACAAUUUUACUCUUUUAUUAUUUUUUCGUGAAAAUGAUUUCGAUUAAUCCUUAAAUUCCGGACGGAAUGACAUCAAGAAAUCCAAUAUCACGUAUUAGAAAUUUUUAGAUCUUUACUUUUAAUUUAUAAUACGGGAUAUGUGGGUUGUGUUUAUUCUUAUUUAAAUAACUUAUUUGAUUAAUGUAAUAUUAUGGAGAAAAAAUAUGUAUAUUUUUAUGUAUAAUAUUUAUGGAUUCAUAAUAUAAUCCGGACUUUAAGGAUUAAUUUGCAUUUGAAUUCUUUUUAGAUAUUAAUGUCAUAAUGAGAUUGUUACAUUUUACAACAAGAGUAACAUCUCAAAGUAACGUAUUGCUCAAAGAAAUUCUGCCAAUCCAUAUCGACGUUAUUACAAUUGUAGCAGUUUGCUUUUAACGGAAGUUACAUCUUGCAAUUCAAAUGCAUCACCGACUCAUCAUAGAUUACUCGAAGAUCCAAGUCGAAGGGUCACUAGAGCCGUAAUCUCGCGUGUAUCCCGAUUCAUGAAGCGUCUGCGAUCUUCAAAAUCGAGGAUUCGAAUCGCCAAGACAUUAAACGCCGAAAUGAAUAAUUUAAGCACACGCGCUUAGAGCUUCGGUAGAUUGAUUUCGCUGAAGGCAUCGUUUCAACUUUUCCGCGCGACUUCUUCGCGCGAUUCCUUCAAAGUCCUUUCGAUCCGCGAUCGACGGCAUUCAAGUCAAUUUUUAAAGUCUAAGAUGAUAAACUUAGAUUUUUUUUAACGCGGCCGUCUCGCAAAACGCGAGCCGAUCCUCGAGCAGGCCGCAGUUGGUAUAUGUAAUCGAAUAACUACAUAUAAUGCGUACGUAUAUAUAUAUUUAUAUAAGGACACGGCGCGGUAAGUGCGGAUGGAGGGUAAGGCGGAAAAGGAACGAUGAAGGGUUGAAGGCUCGCCGACGUGCAACGCCGUGCGUACAACGAUCUCUGUUGUCUGUAACCUCAUAGUGCUCUAAGGCGCACGCUAUCGCUGCACAGUGCGCAUUUUUUAAAUCCGCCACGCGUUAUUAGCACAUUAUUUCUCGCUCUUAAGCGCCGAGCGUUCGAAACAAAGACGCGAAUUUGCGAAAUGUUGUUUUUUUUUUUUUUUUUUCUUUUUUCUUUUUAAUACGAGAUCUAUCUCGAUAGAUCUGCUCUAAAUGUGACUGAUUGCCUCUAAAUCCUAUUUUACCUCGAAUAAGGCACAUUAGCUCAUUUACGAUUAGAAGCGAGCAGCCACGUUUAAGCGAAAAUGGGAAGAAUUUUAUACUUUUAUGUUGCGAAGUGAGUUUAGUGAAGGACGAAUUAAUCGAGAGUUUUGCUGGGAGGAUCUAAAAUUUUGAAGCUGUGCUUUGAAAGAAAGAGGGACAAGCAUUAAUUCCGCGGGCAUUUCCGGGAUGGGCGCACUGUGCAAAGAAAUAUAAAUAUAUUACAUAUAUGCAGAUAUAUAUAUAUAUAUAUAUAAAUGAAUAUGAAAGAAAGAUAUACAUUAUUAUUGUACAUGUAAUUAAAUACAGAGGUGAAUACGAAAAAACAGUCGCUAGCAGCGCUAUAUAUAUAUAUAGAUAUAUAUAUAUAUGAUAUUAUAUAGAAAAUAUUGAAUAUACUCUAUACAAUAAAUAUU
Linepithema humile (Argentine ant) is the source of this 5557-nucleotide RNA transcript. It is a transcript of the gene named forkhead box, sub-group O, with no coding region annotated. Lineage: Eukaryota; Metazoa; Arthropoda; Insecta; Hymenoptera; Formicidae. The record is from RefSeq and is a predicted model, not a curated record.